GAGCCUGAUGCAGGGCUCGAACUCACGGACCACGAGAUCGUGACCUGGCUGAAGUCGGACGCUUAACCGACUGCGCCACCCAGGCGCCCCAAGGAGCCUUUCUUGUAUCUGCUUUUGCUUCUCAGUCGCCUUCAGUUCAGAAUAGUCCCUCUGCAGAAAUGGCCUAUUCUGGAGCGGCGUCCUGGGAGAUGCACCGUCAACCGGUGGCGGAAUGCCAAAUGGACGGAUUCCCCAAGUAGAAGAGAGCAGGGAGAGGAGGGCCGGUUCUCUCUUGGAGGCAUCCUUAUCUGCACGUUGGGGACAUUGAUCUCCAAGACUUACUCAAGGAAGGGAACUGAGGCUGUGUAUAUAAAACCACCUGGCACAAUGGUUGGCCUGUGGACAUUAAUCGACUCCAUAUCUAUGACUAUUAGUUCUUUUUUAUAUCCAGACAGAAUCUUCUCCAGACAAUGAUGAGGUCUUACGUUGGUGCUUCCCAAAGUGUGGCCCGUGAACCUGCUUGGAUUACUUACUGGAUUCUACCUAGAACAUCCUAGGGACAGAUCCCCAGUUCCCUUUGCUCCUCUUAGACCUACUCCACCAUGUUCUCAGGGGACAGAGCCCUGCACUCUUUGACAAACUUCCCAAAUGAUUCCUGAGCACAGCCGAGUUUGAGAACCACUAGUAAGGCGAAUGAAACAUUGCUUCUGGGGAUUAGAGAGACCUGGGUUCAAAUCCCAGUUCUGUAACUAACUUAAAAUGUCUAUGCCUUGAUUUCCUGGUUUUUAAAGGGAUAAGAAUAGUAUGUGUGGAGAUUAGAUUAUAUGCAUGUAAAUUGCUUAAGACUUGGGCUAGCACAAAAUAAGUGGUCAAACAAAUGUUAGCUAUUUUUUUUUCCUGCUAAGUGUUCCUGGUUGCAUCUGCUGUCCCUCUGUGGCACAGAUCAAGGCCCCUCGCCAUCCCAGCAAUUACUGAGUUGAUACACGUUGGGAGCAGGAAAAACAAAAACAGGGGAGGCUGUCAGGGUGAGAGCUUUGGUAUCGCCCUCAGCGGCUCUCAUCUGUGAAACGCUGUAAAGACACACUUGGCCACUGGAGGGCAACAUCCACCUAGCUCGUUUUAAGACCUGCUUUCUCAAAAAGCAUCUUCAGAUAGUAGUGUGGGAGGGUGGAAGCCUUAAUGGGGAAUUGGGGUUCUUUGCAUUACUUAACAUCCACUCUACUCCAGGCAGCGCUUAGUGCAUAGGUGUGCCCUAAAAUAUAACCUGGAGAGACAAGUUUGGCAUAAAGAACUGCUUUCCCAUUGCCUUGAAUUAUAAAAGGGGAAUUUUGCUUCUAAACCUGGGGUCUCCCACAGGUGCCCAGUGAUAGCUUUCUGAGUGUCCACAUGCCUGGCCACCAGGAUCCCACAGCCCUCUGCAGGCACACAGAAGGCUCUUUCUCACCCUGCCAGCCGCUGGCUGCACAUGAAGAAAUACGCAGGCAGCCCUGGGGGAGGCGGCAGUCCCUCCCUGCAUGCUUGGUGUUCCCUUCUCGACGUGGCAGCAGGGAUGGAUUCUCCAAAGCAGGUCCAAGCGUUCUAGAACCGUAUUCGGACUGGGCGUGGGACCCCCUUGAUGCUCAUCUCGGGUCUAAACCGGGGCUCCCAGGUGAAGCCACACUCCAGGCACUCCCUGAGAAUGGGCUGUUUAUUUGGGUUAUUCCCAAAGCAGCCUCUAGAUGGCUGUUUGCGCUGUGAGCUCCGUGGGCAGCGGGACUCAGUGGAGAAACGCUGUGAAAGUUGCAAAACCCGUGCGUCACAAUCAACCCAUCCAAGGGGUAAGGGAGCUGGUAUUCACUCUUCCUAGUAGCUACUUCCCGGUAGCCUGCCUCAUCCUCAGGCCGAGUCUCCUUCUGCGGUUCUGGGGGGAAGGUCCCCAGGCACAGAGAUGCAAGAACCAUAGGUGGAAGUUUGCUGGGUAUGGGCGGGGCAGUGCCAGCAGCUGCUAGAGGCUGCCUUUGCCUUUGGCCGUCGUGCUGACCCCAGUGCCCCCUGCCUCCAGCCCCUGAUCUGGGGUGGGAACCCCUUCCUUCCCACUUCCGUGGAUGAUGUCACGCUGGCUGGCCAGCAUCAGCACCGGGAGAACCCACUCCUUACGCGAGUUUUGCGGGGAAGCAGAGCCUUUCCUGUUGCUUGCGGUAGAGUCCUGACACGCCCACUCUGAGUCCAGGUGGCCUGGGUAGGGCUGCGCCCUCCAAUCUAGGCUGAGCACCCAGGCCAGGCCGAAGCCGACUUGAAGUUGCGAGGUGGUGACACGGGAGCCCCUGGCCAUUUUGCCACCUCAGAAGGAGAGCCCGUUUGAGAAUGGAGUCAAUCCAGGGAAACCGCGUCCUGCUGGCCUUGGUGCGCCCCUGCCUCAGGCACCUGGGAAGACAGCAUUACCUCUGGACACUUCAUUUAUCCAAGUCAGUGAAACGACCCUUCUGGCUUUACCAGCGUAGGUUGGGUUUCGUGACUCUUGCAGGCAAGUGUCCUAAUCGUUAGAUCACCCAGCAGCUCCUGAUUCUCAUCCACAAAUGAUUCGAGGUUGGGUAACAAGUUAUCACAUCUAAUUAUCUCAUGCUGAUUGUGUGCGGAAACAAAAGAGCCCUCUCUCUCUUUUUCUUCCCGCCUCUCUCUCCUCCCACGCACCUUGGCUCCAAACUUGGCUGUUCUGCACAGGGCACCGGGCUAUGGGUCAGGAGACCUGGGUUCUCACCCUAGCUCUGCCUCAACCUACCCCUGUGACCUCGAGCAAGCCAAUGCUCUCAGGCUGUAAUCUUCUCCUCUGUCAGAUGAAAAGGGUGGACUUUGUGACCUCUUCGGUUCUCUAACACUAACAUUCCAUGGACAUCUUUGCCCUUCAUCCCACAUUUAGCUCGUCACUGAGGCCCACUGAAGCUUCCUUGGACGUCUCUCAGCCACCCCUCCUGCUAUUACCUUGGAAGAGGAGUGGCUCCUCCCUUUCUUCCUGAAAUGCUGCUUUCACCACUGGCUCUAAAUCUAGAACUAAAAAGAAUUUUGCAGUGAGUAGAGCCUGGGAGGGCUCCCUGGGAAAUUCUGGACGGACAAGGGGACAUCUCCGUUAAUUCCGAUCCUCAGAGAACGAAACUGAGAUGAAGCUUCAGCUCCUAAUUUUCCCAGACAACUCAGUGUCCUAGACUGUGUCCUGCCUGCAGCCCUCACCCCCUCAGCCCAGGGCCGCUAACCAGUCCACCCACCUCCUGUGGGCCCGGCCAUUCCGGCCCUUUUGGGGUUUCAGGGUUUUGUAGCUUCCAUCUCCCUCCUCUGUGGACUAGUGUUUUUAGGGUGAGGGGCUCUGGUCCAACAGCUGUGGCAGCCUCCCAGGGGCCAACAUUGCAAACUCAAGCUUUUGAAGCAGGAGAGGUUUCUCCAGAGCCUCAAGCCUAUAACAUGGGCCCCUGGCGUCAGGGAGGCAACCAGGCUCCCGUGAGGCCUGAACAAUGGAGCAGGUGUGAGUUUCCUACUACUGCUGUAACAAAUUACCACAAACAUAGUGGCUUCAAACAACACGAGUUUAUUAUCUUAUACAGGCAUCUACCUCAGAGAUAUUGCAGGUUUGGUUCCAGACCACCACAAUUAAGCAAGUAUCACAAUAAAGCAAAUCAAAUGAAUUUUUUGGUUCUCCACUGCAUAUAAAUGUAUGUUUACACUAUACUGCAGCCUAUUAAGCGUGCGAUAGCAUUAUGUCAAAAAAAAAAAAAAGAUGCGUGUGCCUUAAUUUUAAAAUACUUUAUUGACACAGAGACACGAAGUUGGCAAAUGCUGUUGGAAAAAUGGCGCCAAGAGACUUGCUCGACUCCCGGCUGCCAAAAAAUUUCAACCUGUACAAAACACGGUAUCUGUGAGGUGCCAUAAAGCAAGGUAAGCCUAUAUAGUUCUGGAGAUCAGAAAUACAAAGUCAGUAGCAGGGCCGCGUUUCUUCUGGAGGUUCUAGGGGAGAAUCCAUUUCCUUGUCUGUUCCAGCUUCUACUAGCCAUCCACAUCCCUCAGUUUAUGGCUCUACAGCACUCCAAUCUCUACCUUCACCGUCCCUACCUCUUGAUGAAGGCCCACCCAGAUAAUCCAGAAUAUUCUCCCCAUCUCAAUAUCCUUCAAUACAUCUGCAAAGUGCCAUCUGCCCUGUGCAGUGGCGUAAUCACACGUUCCAGGGAUUAGGACGGGGACGUCUCCUGGGGACUAUUAUUAAGCCCACCACAGAGCUCAAAGACCGGAAGAGGACUCCCCUUAAUGGUAUUUUUCUAGAACCAGGCCUUUUGCCUCAAGAAUUUUUAAAAUAGCAUAACAAAGCACAGCUAAUUU
This is a long non-coding RNA of Felis catus (domestic cat), 4320 nucleotides long. RefSeq lists it as uncharacterized. The record is from RefSeq and is a predicted model, not a curated record. The transcript is spliced from 2 exons. NCBI's taxonomy places the organism in Eukaryota, Metazoa, Chordata, Mammalia, Carnivora, Felidae.